UUCCGUAGGUGAACCUGCGGAGGGAUCAUUACAGAGUUCAUGCCCUCCGGGUAGAUCUCCCACCCACUGCUAUCACUACUCUCGUUGCUUUGGCGGGCCGCCGGGCCCUGCCCGGCCGCCGGCCCCGGCUGGCGCGUGCCCGCCAGAGACCUCACAGACUCUGAAUGUUAGUGUCGUCCGAGUAACUAUAUAAUCGUUAAAACUUUCAACAACGGAUCUCUUGGUUCUGGCAUCGAUGAAGAACGCAGCGAAAUGCGAUAAGUAAUGCGAAUUGCAGAAUUCAGUGAGUCAUCGAAUCUUUGAACGCACAUUGCGCCCUGUGGUAUUCCGCAGGGCAUGCCUGUUCGAGCGUCAUUUCAACCCUCAAGCCUCGCUUGGUGUUGGGCCCUGCCCGCCGCGGCCGGCCCUAAAGAUAGUGGCGGCGCCGCCUGGCCCUCAGCGUAGUACAGCUCUCGCUCCAGGGUCCGGCGGCAGCCUGCCAGAACCCCCCAACUCUGUGGUUGACCUCGGAUCAGGUAGGGAUACCCGCUGAACUUAAGCAUAUCAAUAAGGGGGAGGA
RNAcentral lists this ribosomal RNA (559 nucleotides) under Oidiodendron sp. shylm129. Its description in RNAcentral is "eukaryotic LSU rRNA". The stretch from base 201 to 354 matches the Rfam family "5.8S ribosomal RNA". The record is from RNAcentral. Lineage: Eukaryota; Fungi; Ascomycota; Leotiomycetes; Myxotrichaceae.